GAGCUCGAAGAAGAUUCUGAGGCCGAUCCACCGAGCCCGCCGGAUGUCCUGGCGGAGGGAAGCAUGAGAAUAAGUGGGCUCUGUUCUGAGUUUCUGAGUUCAAUCUUGUCUGUCCAGGGGUGCUUCUGGAGGAUUUCCAGCAGGAUCGAUGGGGGCGAAUCCGAGGGCUCCUUCAACACAGAGCCCUCCGAGCAAGGAGAAAUGGAUUUACAGGCACUGCUGUCAGGGGCGAGUCGCCUUCGCGAGCAAGGGGUGGAGGUGGAGGCCAGGUUUUCCGGGUACGAGGAGAAGACAAGGAAGGAGAAGAGAGACUUGGAGGACCGGAUUUUGGGUUUAACCCAGGAGAAUGCCGACAUCAGCCGCUUGCUUCGGAUAGCUCUGGUGGAGAAGGAAGCAGCAGAGAAGAGCCUGAACAGGCUCAAAGGAAGCGGGGAGCAGAGGAGGACGGCCAUAGUAAAAAUUGCAGAAUGGGGGUUGCAGAAGGCCGGGUUCGGGUUCUUGAGGGGAGGGUCAGCCGAGGAGUCUCCAAGUGAGCACCCGACCAGCUGCAAUGCCAGCAUGGCGUCAGAUAUCAGUGAAUGCGAGGAAGAGGAGGAGGAGGAGGAGACCAGCCUGGUAACCUGCUUGGUUAAAUUCUCCUGCAUAUGGUCUAAGAAUACAUGCCAAAUGAGUAUCUAUUCUGUCUCUUGGUUUGUAUUUGCCCCGCUAAUAAAUAAAACGAGACAGAAUUUCGAAUGCACAGGAUUAGGAAAUAUUCAGAGUGAAAUGAUAAAUAUGGAUGAUAAUGGAUAAUUCUUGGUGAACUAACUCAUAUCAUAAUAAGGUUUUCCCCAGAUGACCAAGGAAAUCUAUUGGGGUUAGGCAGCCAUCAGAGACCGAACCACAUGACCAAUUUGUAGUUGUCUAGAUGCAGAGAGAAGUCAAGAUCUGGUUAAGGAACCUGAUCUUGUAUCUGAGGCAUGGUGGAUUAUUGAUUAAUGCAAUUAAUGUAUUUGAAAAAUAUAAGUAAAAAUAAAAAAGGGCACAUGGACGUAAUAAAAAAUAGCACUAGUUUUGAAUUCCAAUAGGAGCCUAGAUCCUAGUGUCUAUAUUAGAGGGAAACUCUGUUAUGAAAUUCUCCUUUCCCUCGUCACUUUAGUUUUCUUAUUGGAAAGAAACUGUUUCUUCGAUAUAAUAUUUUUCUAGUUGUUAUAUUGAAUUCACUGAGUUUAUAUGUUUUUCCUGUUGGAUCUUUUUUGACCAGGCCUCUGCAGUCGAAAAGAUAGUAAAAAAUCUACGCCAUGAGGUCACAGAAUUACGAUGUUCUUUAGGGGAGCAAAGGUGGUUCUAUAGAAAUCUGCAGUGUUUAAAUAUUCUCAUAUUUCCUUUUUCACCUAGUUUUUAAAACGAAAUAUCAUAAUUUAAAGUAAGAUAUGGAGAAAAAAAAUUCAGUAUAUUUGAAUCAUGUGGGUUUCCAAGACACUGAAUGAGUAUGCGGAACGGGAAACAGAACAAAUCAGUGGCAGUUCAAGAAGAUACUGGUCUACAUUUUAUAAGAUAAGAACGAUGAAGAGGGAAAUGAUGCUGUAGAUUUCAAUGAAAGGAUAAUAAUUUUCACUAUCCACUUUCUCUAAAUUUCAUGGGAGGCUCGUCUGUAAACCACCUGCCGUGAAACCAUUUAUUCAUAGGUACUCGUUUGACUGUUCAGUUUUUCCAGAAACUAAUAGUUUUAAACACCAGGAUUCAUCCGCUCGACAGCGGAAAAACACACCCUUCUGCAACAUCAUAUGAAUGCAUCUCUUGAGAGUCUUCAUGAAUGGAACUACCCAUGCCUUUCGUAAGACCUAGACAAUGCCGCAAGCAGGAUCUUCUUCCACAUUCUUCCAUUGAUUUCCAUUGUCUCUUCAGCAUCAGAAGGAAGGAGAUUGUAAUUUUCGACCUCAAUUAGACUCAUUUAAAGCCACGCACUACGAGAGCUAUUCAGAACCUCGAUGCUACUGAUGCUCAUGAUUUUCACAGUAGAGCAUGAUGUGGAGCACAGAUUGUGGAAUGACCAGAGAUGGAGUUCUUCACAAUAAAACACGUGUUAUUUUUUUCCUACUUUGUAAUGUGCUCAGUGCCACGUUGAAAUCAACAAUGCCGCCCAUGUACUCUUCCUUAGAUGAUCAUUUUCAUCAUCAUACCUCUCCCAGAGAAUUUGAUUCAGUGUUGACAUCCAGGCUUGCCUUUUCCUCAUUGUUGGACUCGGAUCGAGUCCAAUCCUGCCAUCCAGAACCACUGGGUCUAUAGAUUACACAUCUGAAGAAGAUUCUGUGCAUGUUAGAAGUUUCCUUGGGUUCGAUUUGUCGGAUUCCACGUCGUUCAUUGGCCGCAUCUUCUUUUUCCUUUAAUUUAUGUCUUUCCUGGGAAAUUGAUUCUGGAUGUCGAUACUUUCCCAGAUCGGAGAAUGAACGCCUGCAAAGCUUGACAGAUAAACAAAUCAAGGAACUGGCCGAUAGAGAUCUCCAUAUAAAAAUUUCAGAAGAGAGGGAGAAUAUGCUGGCCCGAAAUGUAUCUAUCUCCUUCUAUUUUACAUCAGAUAUCCGGAAGUUUUCACAUCUCAUCUCUGGUAUCUCUCUUUUUCGUUUACAAAGGUUGAAGAGCUAAGUCUGGAGUUGAAAGGAGCAGAGGAUGAACUUGCAAGAUGGAGAGAAGCGUGUAAGUUGGAGGUAGAGGCGGGGAACAUUGCUAUCAGAGAAUGCCAAAGCGAGGUGAGCAAAAAGAAAGUGAUCACGUAUUUUUAUUUUCUGUGUUUCACCAUCAUGCAGGAGCGUUCAAAUUCAUUUCACAGAGACAGUUCUUGUGAUCUUUACCUUUGCCCUAUUCUGUCGACGCAAGCGCUCUGGAGUUUGAUCUAUCUCAUUAUAGAAUGCCUAUGGCCUCCGCACAUUGUGAAUCCUGAAAACUUCAUGUUGACGAAACUCAAGGUUUGUAAAUCUCCGGAAUGUUUCUCAUUCUCCACUGAGUGCAUCAUUCCUCC
Molecule: long non-coding RNA, 2998 nt
Filed under: Spirodela polyrhiza (greater duckweed)
Lineage: Eukaryota; Viridiplantae; Streptophyta; Magnoliopsida; Alismatales; Araceae
Description: long non-coding RNA (SPOL_LNC000283)
Source: RNAcentral